Molecule: ribosomal RNA, 86 nt
Filed under: Allium schoenoprasum
Lineage: Eukaryota; Viridiplantae; Streptophyta; Magnoliopsida; Asparagales; Amaryllidaceae
Also listed under: 1 other name
Source: RNAcentral
CCAUCAGAACUCCGCAGUUAAGCGUGCUUGGGCGAGAGUAGUACUAGGAUGGGUGACCUCCUGGGAAGUCCUCGUGUUGCACUCCU